GGCACCAUGGAGAGCUUUUUAUCUACCUACUACAGAGAAAAGAAAACAGCUUCUGGAGUUACCAUGGAUAUGGCCCAAUCUCUGUUUUGGAUAGCAGAUUAGGUUGAUAACAGAUAUACUGAGCACAACUAUCAAUGAUUUCUGGAGUUUUCUGCUGGCUACCCUUCAAACUCUGAUUUCAAGGGGAAAAAUAAUUUCACCUUUUCAAUUGUGUUUAUUCAACCAGGCUAGGCAAAGGGAUUAGGAGGCAACUUGAUAUUUACAUUCUAACUGCUCAUUGUGUUAACAGUCCCCCCAUUGUGUUCUGGAGCU
This 312-nucleotide long non-coding RNA is filed under the name Pan troglodytes (chimpanzee). Its description in RNAcentral is "long non-coding RNA NONPTRT007670". Lineage: Eukaryota; Metazoa; Chordata; Mammalia; Primates; Hominidae. The record is from RNAcentral.